CAGUAGCCGCGGUAAUACGAAGGGUGCAAGCGUUAAUCGGAAUUACUGGGCGUAAAGGGUGCGUAGGCGGUUCGGAAAGAAAGAUGUGAAAUCCCAGGGCUCAACCUUGGAACUGCAUUUUUAACUACCGGACUAGAGUAUGUCAGAGGGAGGUGGAAUUCCACGUGUAGCAGUGAAAUGCAUAGAUAUGUGGAGGAACACCGAUGGCGAAGGCAGCCUCCUGGGAUAAUACUGACGCUCAUGCACGAAAGCGUGGGGAGCAAACAGGAUUAGAUACCCCCGUAGUCCCUGUCUCUUAUAC
Molecule: ribosomal RNA, 301 nt
Filed under: uncultured bacterium
Lineage: Bacteria
Description: partial 16S ribosomal RNA
Rfam family: Bacterial small subunit ribosomal RNA
Source: RNAcentral